RNAcentral lists this unclassified non-coding RNA (146 nucleotides) under uncultured Cenococcum. Its description in RNAcentral is "sequence contains ITS2". The record is from RNAcentral. Lineage: Eukaryota; Fungi; Ascomycota; Dothideomycetes; Gloniales; Gloniaceae.
CACCCCUCAAGCCUGGCUUGGUGUUGGGCGACGUCCUCUUCAGGGACGCGCUUCGAAACGUUCGGCGGCGUGGCACCGGCUUUAAGCGUAGCAGAAUCUUUCGCUUUUAAGGUCGAGGCCCCGUCUACCGGAAGACCUAUUCGCAA